Molecule: ribosomal RNA, 460 nt
Filed under: uncultured bacterium
Lineage: Bacteria
Description: partial 16S ribosomal RNA
Rfam family: Bacterial small subunit ribosomal RNA
Source: RNAcentral
CCUACGGGCGGCAGCAGUGAGGAAUAUUGCUCAAUGGACGAGAGUCUGAACCAGCCAAGUAGCGUGAAGGAUUACUGCCCUAUGGGUUGUAAACUUCUUUUAUAUGGGAAUAAAAUGUUCCACGUGUGGGAUUUUGUAUGUACCAUAUGAAUAAGGAUCGGCUAACUCCGUGCCAGCAGCCGCGGUAAUACGGAGGAUCCGAGCGUUAUCCGGAUUUAUUGGGUUUAAAGGGAGCGUAGGUGGAUUGUUAAGUCAGUUGCGAAAGUUUGCGGCUCAACCGUAAAAUUGCAGUUGAAACUGGCAGUCUUGAGUACAGUAGAGGUGGGCGGAAUUCGUGGUGUAGCGGUGAAAUGCUUAGAUAUCACGAAGAACUCCGAUUGCGAAGGCAGCUCACUGGACUGCAACUGACACUGAGGCUCGAAAGUGUGGGUAUCAAACAGGAUUAGAUACCCUUGUAGUC